AACCCCUGACACUGGGCAAAGAGACACCUUGGUGGUGGUGUUCUUAUAUCAGUCGGGGACAGAGCAGAUGGCAGUCCUUUGGUCAUCCUAACUUGAUGCCUAGCUUGGAGGCCAAAGCUGUUUCAUGCCUGGGGCACAUAA
Molecule: small nucleolar RNA, 141 nt
Organism: Rattus norvegicus (Norway rat)
Lineage: Eukaryota; Metazoa; Chordata; Mammalia; Rodentia; Muridae
Product: small nucleolar RNA SNORA48
Source: Ensembl